RNAcentral lists this long non-coding RNA (3927 nucleotides) under Phasianus colchicus (ring-necked pheasant). RNAcentral's name for it is "lncRNA (ENSPCLG00000011319.1)". The record is from RNAcentral. Lineage: Eukaryota; Metazoa; Chordata; Aves; Galliformes; Phasianidae.
AUGCAGGACCUGCUUCCCAUUUUUGUUCUGAUUGCAUCGGAGCUGCUGGAUCUCUCUGGUGCCCCCAGAGCCGAGCACCAUGUUGGUGGAGCCUCAGACCUGAGCUUUCCUGGAGAACCCCAACCAAUACCUGGGACCAGUCCACUGUCAGUCACAGAGGAUGACUUGGGUGAGGCAACCAAUUAUGUUCAGACUCCGGCAGCCGAUCCUACAAAUAAAAUGACAGCAGACUUCAUUCCCAGCCACACAGAGGUGGCUGCAAGAGCAACAGGCACGCUGCCAGCGGAGCCAGUGAGGGAUGUGGAAGGGUCUGAGCGAGGGCACACAGCAGCUGCUGUAAAGCUCCAGGACAGACAGCCAUUUCCUAACGAGCUCUUGAGCAGCACAAGCAGCCCCAUUUCCACACGAGGGCCACAGGCUGCCACCCACCCACAUCCCUUAGGAAAGGCUGCCACUAUUACCAGCCCAGCCAGCUCUGAUGCUGGCACCCCUCAGCCCAUUCCCAGUGCAGGGGUGCAGCAAGGUGUUUCUGCCUUGUCCACCCCAGGCAUCCAGCAGAGGGAGGCACCAAGUCUUGAAACAUCUCCUCUGACUUCAACAAUACCUUUCCAUCCUCCCAGAAAAGAAACAGCAUCUCCGUUUCCCACCAGAGAGAAGAUGGUGACCAAUCCACCAUCAGCACCUCCCACCAGCAAAAGGCCGAGAGAUGCGAGCCCCCAGGCACAGCCCCACAGCAGAGCUGCACAGCCUCGGGGUGUGGCUGCUAAGGUCACCACUUCUGCAUUCCUACCAAAACCAGCUUCAGGGGACCCUACCGCAGUUCCUUCCAGAACAACACAGACAACUGCUGGUUACUUCUCCCCUGUGAAGCGAGAGAUGGCAGGCAGCGAGGGCAGGAGCUCAACAGCAGCCAUAGUAAGUGGAUCUGGACACACAGCCCAGCUGCCUGCACUGCAGGACAUUCUGCAAGGCCACGCACACUCCUCUUCCCCACUGAUGCCUCUGGAAGCCCUGGAUCAUGAUUUACCCCACUCUCCAUCUCAAGAGCCCACUAAUGCUGCUGACGGACCGCAGCCUCUCCCUUUGCCUCGGACUCACAGCUGUACCAAACACCACUCCUCCCAGGAAGACCACAGGAGCUCUCAAGGAAGCACAGCCCUGGUUUUGCAAAAAGAUGCUGAUCACCAGAUGACAAGUAAACCCGAAAAAUCCAGAUUCCCUGAGAAGCCACAGGUUUCUGCUAGUGCAUCUUCAGUAAGCCAGUCACAGAUGUCCACCUUAAACAUUUCCCAAACUACUACAGGGACAAAAGGAGCUACAUCUGCAUUCUCCCUGGGCACUCCCACCCUGCAGCACGCAGCCCUUCGAGCUGUGAGCACUCCUGUUGUUCCUGCAGCACUUCAGCCAGCGGGUGUAUCUGCUCCUCCUGCUGGACCCCAGUUAGCAGGCAUCCUCACUUCUGCUGGGCAAGGACUUCACAUACCAACUUCACCCACUUCAGCUCAUUCCAGGUCUCUGCACCCACCUUUUGCUCAGGAAAGCCUGCCCAGCACAACUGCACAUCCCAAUGUGGUAGAGGCUGCUGUUUCUGAUGGGAUCCCAGCACACCUGGCACAGCUGCUGGUGCAGCAGUUGGAUACAUCACACCACACACCUACCAAAAACCUCAGUGCUAUCGGAACCGAUCACCUUAGCAUGUUACCAUCAUUCCCAUAUUUGUCCUUCCUGCUUAGAAAUACCGACAGCAUGCUAUGCCUGCUUCCCACACAGGAUUCCCCUUUGCCUGUGCAAUUCCCAAAUAUCAGCACUGGGACUCUGGUUUCUGCUCAGCAAAUCCUCACGGUGUCAAAUUCUUCGUUAUUAGAUCUAGGGGACUUACCAAACAUGAGUCUUUCCAGCUUAAUCCUGGUUAAGCCCAUAUUUAUCCUCUUUCCCACCGACAGACCAGGCUUACAGGGGAGGCCCUCUCCUGAGGGUGAAGGCAAACACAAAACCCUGUUGUUCAGCAACCAGCAAGGUGUGAAUGCAAUUACUGCUCAGCACAGCCAUGACAUCCCGCUGGUGUCCACACGCAUCCCCCGUACUGCCCCCAAAGCACCUCUCACAGCUGGGAAGUUGUUUUCUUUAUCACUGCCAGCGGUAGAACUGCCCGAUCCCCCACUCCCAGCCCAGCCUCCGUUUGCAAUCACAGAGGCAGUGGAUCCGGCUCAGCCCAGCAAGGAGGCAGCACUGCAAGGCACCGGCCUGGGCUCAGCCCCCGCACCGUCCUCUGCCCGUGCACAGUGCGCUGAGUGUCUGCGCUCAGCCAGGACCACGAAUUACCCACUGAGGGUGUCCACAAGCACUGUGCCUCUGCAGUCCACACCGCAAAGCUCCGAGCCGCUCCAAAGGCUGCCAUCACCAGCUGGGAUUGCGCCCAGCACCGUACCGGCAUCCCCAGCGCCUCCCACUGGCAGCGACAGGAGAGGUUCAGCUGCGGGCAGCGCCGCCUGUCCGGGAGUGGCUCUGCAUCCCAGGGCAGCACCAACCUCACCCUCAUCUCUGAGCCCCGGCCUUGCCAAGCGCCUGGAGCUCACACCCACCGUGCCCAAACCCUCUGCAGUGAUGGAGACCCCAACACCAGUGCUGUCACCAUUAUCAGCAAAGGUUCACGUGAAAACAACAACGUCUGGGAAGCUGCUGGCUGCAGUUACCCGUCCGAGAAUGUACGCCGGGUCCCCUGCAAGCCCGCCUUCCUCUGUGGCCAUGCGCAUUCUGCCAUCAGCCACAAAACACGACCGGAGCACCCGAGCACAGGGCAAUGUGGGAGAAGAUGCAAAGCCAGCUGAAGUCAGCACGAGUGCAAGGAAAACAGGACUCGCAGGAAGCAGCACUCCUCUGCCAGCUGUGUUUGGGCCGGAGCAGCACCCCGCAGCAGUGCAGGACAGCGAGGCUGCUUUAGCCCCAGUGCAGUCUGAGUCUGCAGAAGCUGUGAUUGAGACACACAGCUCUGCUGGGCAGCACCCUGGACCGCCUACGACAGGAUCGGCUGUGGGGCUGCCCCUGAGCACUGAGGAAGAAGAGGAGGCCGGACCCCGCGAGGUGACAGAAGAAGCAGCCGAAGGCUCAGUGACCGAGCUCACACCGCUGGGGUCACAGCCGGCAGAGCCCCGCCGCCGCAGCGCCGUGCAGCCGGAGGGCGCCGUGCUGAGCGGGUAAUUGGGGCAGGAGCUGCCGCUCAGAGGGCGGAGGGGUCAACAUCUCCAGUGCUCCGUGUGCUCAGCAGCACGGGCGUGAUGUAUUGCUUGGUUUGAGAGCGCUCAGUUCGUUCUGCAGUGACCUCAUAAAUGUAUUUAAAAAAAAAUGUAAUCUUUCUACAUCUCAGAUGUUAGCGCUGUCCUUCCAGCUUUCUUUUGCACAGCAGCCUUUGACUCUCUGCCUCUUCUCCUAAACAGCUCUACGUGCAUCUCUGUGAUGUGGGAGCAUCUGACAGCACAAUGAGACACACUAGCUAAAUGUGGACCUUCCCCACAUGGCUGUGCAGAGGCAGGAGGUGGUUCCGGUCACACCAGCGUCUACUUGCUCUUCAUUUCAUUCAACUUGCUUGCAAACAUCUUGCAGAGCUGUUUGGUUUCACCAAGGAAACCGACCCUAGCACUGAGCAGCUCCAUAGCAGAGUUGGGCUCAGCUGGUUUCUUCUUUCCCCUGCAGCGUUGCAGUUGUCAGCGAUGAGCUCUGUGGCUCUGGGAACUACACGGUGCGGAUGACCCUGCGCCCUGUGGCAGACACCAGCCUGGGGCUGCAGGGCUCACCCCCCACCCAGGACUCCUUCCUGGCUCUCGUAGCUGUGCAGAGCAGCCCCCAGCCCGUGCUGCAGCUCCGUUCCUGCUGUGUGACACCGUCCAGCAGCCUGCAGGGCCCCAGCGCCGUGUGCUGCUCGCUGCCCAG